CAGUGCUGUCUGGCGGCACCACCAUGUACCCUGGCAUUGCCGACAGGAUGCAGAAGGAGAUCACCGCCCUGGCACCCAGCACCAUGAAGAUCAAGAUCAUUGCUCCUCCUGAGCGCAAGUACUCCGUGUGGAUCGGCGGCUCCAUCCUGGCCUCGCUGUCCACCUUCCAGCAGAUGUGGAUCAGCAAGCAGGAGUAUGACGAGUCCGGCCCCUCCAUCGUCCACCGCAAAUGCUUCUAGGCGGACUGUGACUUAGAUUUAAAAACUGGAACGGUGAAGGUGACAGCAGUCGGUUGGAGCGAGCAUCCCCCAAAGUUCACAAUGUGGCCGAGGACUUUGAUUGCACAUUGUUCUUUUUUUAAUAGUCAUUCCAAAUAUGAGAUGCAUUGUUACAGGAAGUCCCUUGCCAUCCUAAAAGCCACCCCACUUCUCUCUAAGGAGAAUGGCCCAGUCCUCUCCCGAGUCCACACAGGGGAGGUGAUAGCAUUGCUUUCGUGUAAAUUAUGUAAUGCAAAAUUUUUUUAAUCUUCGCCUUAAUACUUUUUUAUUUUGUUUUAUUUUGAAUGAUGAGCCUUCGUGCCCCCCCUUCCCCCUUUUUUGUCCCCCAACUUAAGAUGUAUGAAGGCUUUUGGUCUCCCUGGGAGUGGGUGGAGGCAGCCAGGGCUUACCUGUACACUGACUUGAGACCAGUUGAAUAAAAAUGCACACCUUAAAAA
RNAcentral lists this small RNA (715 nucleotides) under Pongo abelii (Sumatran orangutan). Its description in RNAcentral is "processed transcript". Lineage: Eukaryota; Metazoa; Chordata; Mammalia; Primates; Hominidae. The record is from RNAcentral.